UACGAAGGGGGCGAGCGUUGUUCGGAUUUACUGGGCGUAAAGGGCGCGCAGGCGGCGGAUCAAGUCAGAUGUGAAAGCCCCGGGCUUAACCUGGGAACUGCAUUUGGGACUGGUUUGCUAGAGAUCGGGAGAGGAGAGUGGAAUUCCCAGUGUAGAGGUGAAAUUCGUAGAUAUUGGGAAGAACACCGGUGGCGAAGGCGGCGACCUGGUCCUUGACUGACGCUGAGGCGCGAAAGCGUGGGGAGCAAACAGG
This 253-nucleotide ribosomal RNA is filed under the name uncultured bacterium. RNAcentral's name for it is "partial 16S ribosomal RNA". It matches the Rfam family "Bacterial small subunit ribosomal RNA", at positions 524 to 776 of the family's 1533-position model. The record is from RNAcentral.